GACAGAGGUGCCGAGCGUUAGGCGGAAUCACUGGGCUUAAAGCGUGUGUAGGCAGACUUCUAAGUACCUUGUGAAAUCCCACGGCUUAACCGUGGAACUGCUUGGUAUACUGGUUGUCUUGGGCCAUCUAGGGGCUACUGGAACAAACGGUGGAGCGGUGAAAUGCGUAGAUAUCGUAAGGAAGACCAGUGGCGAAGGCGGGUCUCUGGACAGUUCCUGACGCUGAGGCACGAAGGUCAGGGGAGCAAACGGG
RNAcentral lists this ribosomal RNA (253 nucleotides) under uncultured bacterium. Its description in RNAcentral is "partial 16S ribosomal RNA". It matches the Rfam family "Bacterial small subunit ribosomal RNA", at positions 524 to 776 of the family's 1533-position model. The record is from RNAcentral.